RNAcentral lists this ribosomal RNA (331 nucleotides) under Salmonella enterica. RNAcentral's name for it is "partial 23S ribosomal RNA". It matches the Rfam family "Bacterial large subunit ribosomal RNA", at positions 1241 to 1572 of the family's 2925-position model. The record is from RNAcentral. Lineage: Bacteria; Pseudomonadati; Pseudomonadota; Gammaproteobacteria; Enterobacterales; Enterobacteriaceae. RNAcentral also lists the same sequence under 1 other name.
CUGUAAGCCUGCGAAGGUGGCCUGUGAGGGUUGCUGGAGGUAUCAGAAGUGCGAAUGCUGACAUAAGUAACGAUAAAGCGGGUGAAAAGCCCGCUCGCCGGAAGACCAAGGGUUCCUGUCCAACGUUAAUCGGGGCAGGGUGAGUCGACCCCUAAGGCGAGGCCGAAAGGCGUAGUCGAUGGGAAACGGGUUAAUAUUCCCGUACUUGGUGUUACUGCGAAGGGGGGACGGAGAAGGCUAUGUUGGCCGGGCGACGGUUGUCCCGGUUUAAGCGUGUAGGUGUGUGUUCCAGGUAAAUCCGGUUCACUUUAACACUGAGGCGUGACGACGA